This 81-nucleotide transfer RNA is filed under the name Streptomyces asoensis. Its description in RNAcentral is "tRNA-Arg". Lineage: Bacteria; Bacillati; Actinomycetota; Actinomycetes; Kitasatosporales; Streptomycetaceae. The record is from RNAcentral.
CUGGCGGGUACGGCGCCGGGCGCCAGGGGGCCGUCACUCCUGGUGACGGCGGGCGGGGUACGGGGCCCCGCCCGGCGGUCC